CUUCUCUUUCACUCUCUUCUCUCUCCCUCUCCUCUCUCUACCUUCGCACCACCCAACUGCCACCAGACGCCGCCACUGUUUUUGACCAGCAAUCGUCGCCACCAGACGCCGCCAGCUCAGCUGACUAUAGGAUAAAUUUGCAUUGGAUGUUGCCUGAUUGGAAUUAAAGAACGAAUUUCAGCAACACUCUGAGGAGUUUCGAGCCACUCAGCCAAGUAGCACGCCGAUGACUGACGAGGUAAUACAACAAUAGUGGAUUGAGAAGGUUGCUCCCCCAACAAGGCAUGGGACAGUUUAUGGGAUGCCUAAUGGAGCCUUUCGUCGAUACCCGUCAGCCCUUGAAGUCGUAAGUGCUGAUGAUGAUGGGGCAAUUGAUCCUAAGGAGUAUGAAGCUAUGAAGCAUCAAGUUGACCUACUAACAAGAACACUUAAUUCCUCGGAGGCCAGGAUGUUGGGUAUGCAAGCCCAAAUUAACACUGAAUGUUGACCUUUUUGAUUAGUGUGCUUUUGGAUUCUAAUUCGGCUAUGUUUAAAUGGAUAUGUAUAUUAUGUUUAAGAGUUUGAAUGUAGUUUUAAUUCGAAUUAGAAGUACUUUUAAUUUUAAGAUGUUUAAGUGUUUGAAUGGACAAUGUUUAAGUGUUCAAGUGUUUGAACAUUGUUUAUGGUUGUUGUGUUGCAUUGUUGAUGAAUUGGAUGACUGUUUUG
Molecule: long non-coding RNA, 705 nt
Organism: Lycium barbarum (goji berry)
Lineage: Eukaryota; Viridiplantae; Streptophyta; Magnoliopsida; Solanales; Solanaceae
Exons: 3
Source: RefSeq, a predicted model, not a curated record